AGCAGCCGCGGUAAUUCCAGCUCCAAUAGCGUAUAUUAAAGUUGUUGCAGUUAAAAAGCUCGUAGUUGAAUUUCGGGAUCAAUAUAUUGGUCGUGCCUUCGGUAUGCACUGGUAUUAUUGAUUUCUACCUUCUGACGAACUAUGAUGUCAUUAAUUUGGUGUCAUGGGGAAUCAGGACUGUUACUUUGAAAAAUUAGAGUGUUUAAAGCAGGCACACGCUUGAAUACAUUAGCAUGGAAUAAUGAAAUAGGACGUUUGACCCUAUUUUGUUGGUUUCUAGGAUCGACGUAAUGAUUAAUAGGGAUAGUUGGGGGCAUUAGUAUUCAAUUGUCAGAGGUGAAAUUCUUGGAUUUAUUGAAGACUAACUACUGCGAAAGCAUUUGCCAAGGAUGUUUUCAUUAAUCAAGAACGAAAGUUAGGGGAUCGAAGACGAUCAGAUACCGUCGUAGUCUUAACCAUAAACUAUGCCGACUAGGGAUCGGAUGAUGUUAAUUUUAAUGACUCAUUC
This 508-nucleotide ribosomal RNA is filed under the name uncultured Glomeromycotina. Its description in RNAcentral is "SSU rRNA". It matches the Rfam family "Eukaryotic small subunit ribosomal RNA", at positions 569 to 1081 of the family's 1831-position model. Lineage: Eukaryota; Fungi; Glomeromycota. The record is from RNAcentral.